RNAcentral lists this ribosomal RNA (292 nucleotides) under uncultured Verrucomicrobiota bacterium. Its description in RNAcentral is "uncultured Verrucomicrobia bacterium partial 16S ribosomal RNA". It matches the Rfam family "Bacterial small subunit ribosomal RNA", at positions 505 to 796 of the family's 1533-position model. Lineage: Bacteria; Pseudomonadati; Verrucomicrobiota. The record is from RNAcentral.
GUGUCAGCCGCCGCGGUAAUACAGAGGUCCCGAGCGUUGUUCGGAUUCACUGGGCGUAAAGGGUGCGUAGGUGGUUGGUUAAGUUUGAGGUGAAAGCUCCGAGCUCAACUCGGAAAAUGCCUUGAAGACUAUCUGACUAGAGGAUUGGAGGGGAGAUUGGAAUUCUCGGUGUAGCAGUGAAAUGCGUAGAUAUCGAGAGGAACACCAGUGGCGAAGGCGAAUCUCUGGACAAUUCCUGACACUGAGGCACGAAAGCCAAGGGAGCAAACGGGAUUAGAUACCCCCGUAGUCC